This is a small nucleolar RNA of Apodemus sylvaticus (European woodmouse), 71 nucleotides long. RefSeq annotates it as small nucleolar RNA SNORD49. NCBI's taxonomy places the organism in Eukaryota, Metazoa, Chordata, Mammalia, Rodentia, Muridae. The transcript has a single exon. The record is from RefSeq and is a predicted model, not a curated record.
UGCCGUGAUGAGUUAUCCAGUAGGAAGUGCCGUCAGAGUCGAUAACUGACGAUAACUGUUCCCGGCUGACU